Non-coding RNA from Caenorhabditis elegans, 147 nucleotides. Lineage: Eukaryota; Metazoa; Nematoda; Chromadorea; Rhabditida; Rhabditidae. The record is from Ensembl.
GAUUCCCUCUUUUUGAGCCGGAUUCUUCUUCUUAUCGUGCUCAUACUCCUCACUGACCAUAGAAUGGUCAAACGAGGGGCCAUGCUCCGCAGCGGCGACCGGCUGCGGUGGAUUAGCCCAUCGCUCGUCCGCAGCGCCGUAGUUCAU